AGUGAACGCUGGCGGUAGGCCUAACACAUGCAAGUCGAACGGCAGCACAGGAGAGCUUGCUCUCUGGGUGUCGAGUGGCGGACGGGUGUGGAAUACAUCUGAAUCUACUUUUUCGCGGGGGUUAACGCAGGGAAACUUACGCUAAUACCGCAUACGUCUUUCGGGUGAAAGCUCAAGACUUUCGGGCCUUGCUCGGAUAGCUGAGCCGUUGUCGGAUUAGCUAGUUGGUGGGGUAAAGGCUCACCAAGGCGACGAUCCGUAGCUGGUCUGAGAGGAUGAUCAGCCACACUGGAACUGAGACACGGUCCAGACUCCUACGGGAGGCAGCAGUGGGGAAUAUUGGACAAUGGGCGAAAGCCUGAUCCAGCCAUACCGCGUGGGUGAAGAAGGCCUUCGGGUUGUAAAGCCCUUUUGUUAGGAAAGAAAAGAAGCCGGUUAAUACCCGGUUGUUCUGACGGUACCCAAAGAAUAAGCACCGGCUAACUUCGUG
This 490-nucleotide ribosomal RNA is filed under the name uncultured bacterium. RNAcentral's name for it is "partial 16S ribosomal RNA". It matches the Rfam family "Bacterial small subunit ribosomal RNA", at positions 29 to 507 of the family's 1533-position model. The record is from RNAcentral.